RNAcentral lists this unclassified non-coding RNA (771 nucleotides) under Hevea brasiliensis (rubber tree). The record is from RNAcentral. Lineage: Eukaryota; Viridiplantae; Streptophyta; Magnoliopsida; Malpighiales; Euphorbiaceae.
CUGGCAUCUGCAUAAAUUUUAAUGUAAUUCCAUACAAUGGACAUGAUUUUACUUUAAAUAUAUAGAAUUCCUCAUCAUUGAUAGAUGUUUUGAUUGAUGAAAAUUUAUUUUGAAUUGAAAAAUUUAUCAAAUCUGUUUAAUUUAAAAUUUUAUUUUGAUUUAUUUAAAAAUAUAAUUCCAUUUAUUUUAUAUUUUAUAAUUUUAAUUAAUUCAAUUUAUUUAUUUUUGAAAAACAAGGGUUCAACCAACACACCGUGUUUCUCCAUAGCGUGGUUCACCCAUCAUUUCUUCUCUACUCUCCUUUCUCAUUAUCGCAGAGAUAAACUCCCCCCUUUCUUCGAUUCUUCCUAACCUCCUCUGUCCUUGACUUUUUUAUUUUCUCUUUGUCUUGUUCUAUCGCUCUCUAUUUUGCUUUUAUUCAUCGAUUUCAUUAUUCCAUUUGUGGCUGCUAUCGAAGUUUGUUUCAAGUCUGUGAUAUUAGCUCGUGGAAUUUCUGCAAUUUUUCUCUGGGUGAUUCUGGAAAAGGGCUUAGCAGAGAUCGUGGGAUUGCAAGGUAUUUUUACUUUCAUGUAUUUUAGGGGUUUUUUUUUUUUUCAGGGUUGCUUUUAGAUUUAUUUUUAGGUUUGGUUGAUGAAGGAAUUUAGGGAAUUUUGGGGGUUUUGGUGGAGUGAAUUUACAGUUGGUGAGAGUGCUUUUGUGUGAGAUUGUGAUUUUAUUUCUGUGAAUAGUAAAAUUAGAAAUGGAAUACAAGUGCCCAUCUUGCAGCCUUAA